UGGGGGAUAUUGCACAAUGGGCGCAAGCCUGAUGCAGCGACGCCGCGUGGGGGAUGAAGGCCUUCGGGUUGUAAACUUCUUUUGCUCUGAACAAGGCGCACUUUGGGGUGUGUUGAGUGUAGGGGUUGAUUAGCGCCGGCUAACUACGUGCCAGCAGCCGCGGUCAUACGUAGGGCGCGAGCGGUGUCCGGAAUUAUUGGGCGUAAAGGGCUUGUAGGUGGCUGGUUGCGUCUGUCGUGAAAGCUCAUGGCUUAACUGUGGGUGUGCGGUGGGUACGGGCUGGCUUGAGUGCAGUAGGGGGGGCUGGAAUUCCUGGUGUAGCGGUGGAAUGCGCAGAUAUCAGGAGGAAUACCGGUGGCGAAGGCGGGUCUCUGGGCUGUUACUGACACUGAGGAGCGAAAGCGUGGGGAGCGAACAGG
RNAcentral lists this ribosomal RNA (419 nucleotides) under bacterium. Its description in RNAcentral is "partial 16S ribosomal RNA". It matches the Rfam family "Bacterial small subunit ribosomal RNA", at positions 355 to 776 of the family's 1533-position model. The record is from RNAcentral.